RNAcentral lists this ribosomal RNA (2480 nucleotides) under Streptomyces longwoodensis. RNAcentral describes it as "bacterial LSU rRNA". It matches the Rfam family "Bacterial large subunit ribosomal RNA", at positions 588 to 2925 of the family's 2925-position model. Lineage: Bacteria; Bacillati; Actinomycetota; Actinomycetes; Kitasatosporales; Streptomycetaceae. The record is from RNAcentral.
UUCUCGUGACUGCGUGCCUUUUGAAGAAUGAGCCUGCGAGUUUGCGGUGUGUUGCGAGGUUAACCCGGGUGGGGUAGCCGUAGCGAAAGCGAGUCCGAACAGGGCGUUUCAGUAGCACGCUCAAGACCCGAAGCGGAGUGAUCUAGCCAUGGGCAGGUUGAAGCGGAGGUAAGACUUCGUGGAGGACCGAACCCACCAGGGUUGAAAACCUGGGGGAUGACCUGUGGUUAGGGGUGAAAGGCCAAUCAAACUCCGUGAUAGCUGGUUCUCCCCGAAAUGCAUUUAGGUGCAGCGUCGUGUGUUUCUUGCCGGAGGUAGAGCACUGGAUAGGCGAUGGGCCCUACCGGGUUACUGACCUUAGCCAAACUCCGAAUGCCGGUAAGUGAGAGCGCGGCAGUGAGACUGUGGGGGAUAAGCUCCAUGGUCGAGAGGGAAACAGCCCAGAGCAUCGACUAAGGCCCCUAAGCGUACGCUAAGUGGGAAAGGAUGUGGAGUCGCAGAGACAACCAGGAGGUUGGCUUAGAAGCAGCCACCCUUGAAAGAGUGCGUAAUAGCUCACUGGUCUAGUGAUUCCGCGCCGACAAUGUAGCGGGGCUCAAGCGUACCGCCGAAGUCGUGUCAUUGCAGCAUAUACGGCCAACGCCGGCUGUGAUGGGUAGGGGAGCGUCGUCUGCCGGGUGAAGCGGCACUGGAAGGUAGUCGUGGACGGUUGACGAGUGAGAAUGCAGGCAUGAGUAGCGAUACACACGUGAGAAACGUGUGCGCCGAUUGACUAAGGGUUCCUGGGUCAAGCUGAUCUGCCCAGGGUAAGUCGGGACCUAAGGCGAGGCCGACAGGCGUAGUCGAUGGAUAACCGGUUGAUAUUCCGGUACCCGCUGUGAAGCGUCAAACAUCGAAUCCAGUGAUGCUAAGGCCGUGAAGCCGCCCUGAUCUCUUCGGAGUUGAGGGGAGUGGUGGAGCCGCUGACCCGAUCUGGUAGUAGGUGAGUGAUGGGGUGACGCAGGAAGGUAGUCCAGCCCGGGCGGUGGUUGUCCCGGGGUAAGGGUGUAGGCCGUGCGAUAGGCAAAUCCGUCGCACAUAAGGCUGAGACCUGAUGCCGAGCCGAUUGUGGUGAAGUGGAUGAUCCUAUGCUGUCGAGAAAAGCCUCUAGCGAGUUUCAUGGCGGCCCGUACCCUAAACCGACUCAGGUGGUCAGGUAGAGAAUACCGAGGCGUUCGGGUGAACUAUGGUUAAGGAACUCGGCAAAAUGCCCCCGUAACUUCGGGAGAAGGGGGGCCACAACCGGUGAUGAGUCUUGCACUCUGAGCUGGGGGUGGCCGCAGAGACCAGCGAGAAGCGACUGUUUACUAAAAACACAGGUCCGUGCGAAGCCGUAAGGCGAUGUAUACGGACUGACGCCUGCCCGGUGCUGGAACGUUAAGGGGACCGGUUAGCUCCAUUUCGGUGGGGCGAAGCUGAGAACUUAAGCGCCAGUAAACGGCGGUGGUAACUAUAACCAUCCUAAGGUAGCGAAAUUCCUUGUCGGGUAAGUUCCGACCUGCACGAAUGGCGUAACGACUUCUCGACUGUCUCAACCAUAGGCCCGGUGAAAUUGCACUACGAGUAAAGAUGCUCGUUUCGCGCAGCAGGACGGAAAGACCCCGGGACCUUUACUACAGUUUGAUAUUGGUGUUCGGUUCGGCUUGUGUAGGAUAGCUGGGAGACUGUGAAGCCUGGACGCCAGUUCGGGUGGAGUCGUCGUUGAAAUACCAGUCUGGUCGUGCUGGAUGUCUAACCUGGGUCCGUGAUCCGGAUCAGGGACAGUGUCUGAUGGGUAGUUUAACUGGGGCGGUUGCCUCCUAAAGGGUAACGGAGGCGCCCAAAGGUUCCCUCAGCCUGGUUGGCAAUCAGGUGUUGAGUGUAAGUGCACAAGGGAGCUUGACUGUGAGACCGACGGGUCGAGCAGGGACGAAAGUCGGGACUAGUGAUCCGGCGGUGGCUUGUGGAAGCGCCGUCGCUCAACGGAUAAAAGGUACCCCGGGGAUAACAGGCUGAUCUUCCCCAAGAGUCCAUAUCGACGGGAUGGUUUGGCACCUCGAUGUCGGCUCGUCGCAUCCUGGGGCUGGAGUCGGUCCCAAGGGUUGGGCUGUUCGCCCAUUAAAGCGGUACGCGAGCUGGGUUUAGAACGUCGUGAGACAGUUCGGUCCCUAUCCGCUGUGCGCGUAGGAGUCUUGAGAAGGGCUGUCCCUAGUACGAGAGGACCGGGACGGACGAACCUCUGGUGUGCCAGUUGUCCUGCCAAGGGCAUGGCUGGUUGGCUACGUUCGGGAGGGAUAACCGCUGAAAGCAUCUAAGCGGGAAGCCUGCUUCGAGAUGAGGACUCCCACCCACUUGAUGGGGUAAGGCUCCCAGUAGACGACUGGGUUGAUAGGCCGGAUCUGGAAGCACGGUAACGUGUGGAGGUGACCGGUACUAAUAGGCCGAGGGCUUGUCCUCAGUUG